RNAcentral lists this transfer RNA (77 nucleotides) under Inhella crocodyli. RNAcentral's name for it is "Inhella sp. CCP-18 tRNA-Arg". It matches the Rfam family "tRNA". From Rfam's summary of the family: Transfer RNA (tRNA) molecules are approximately 80 nucleotides in length. The record is from RNAcentral. Lineage: Bacteria; Pseudomonadati; Pseudomonadota; Betaproteobacteria; Burkholderiales; Sphaerotilaceae.
CUGGCGGUAGCUCAACUGGAUAGAGCAGCGGCCUUCUAAGCCGCAGGUCGGGGGUUCGAGUCCCUCCCGCCGGGCCA